CAUCAUAUGUGGUCAGUCUUCCUUCAUCAAAAUGUUCCAUGGCAAUCCAAUAGGAUUGAUGCCUCUAAUACCAAUUUUUAUUAGAAAAUAUAAGUUUAUUCAAUUAUUGGCAUCAGUAUACAACAUUGCAUUGCAUAAGCUAAGAAACUUUGUGGCUCUCAUUUUAAUAUGGAACCGAACUGUCUACAACAGCACUGAAGAUGAUGCUGGUUGGUUUCGCAUUCCAAUUGAUAAGGUGGGCGAAAGCCUCUUUCUAAGCAGUCACUCUGGCAAGACUCAUGAGUGCAACCCGCUAAAUCUCUGCAUGAGCGGCGUUGAACUACAAUGCAAUACAUCACAUAAAAAAAUUAGUAAUACAGUCCAUGAAAAAAUAUAUUUUCUCAUAGAUUAAUUAAUUUCAACAUUUGGAAACAGCAUGUAAAAUAUAAAUAGUGUUGCUUACUUGCUUGGCAGGACGGCAACGUUGAGAACAUGAACACAAUGACCAAUAAAGCAACAACUAUGUUGUCCAUGACCAUCCUUGUGUUUCUCUUGAUGAGUGCCAUGAGGAAAAAUGUGACUUAUGUUCAAUCUUUGUUUUUCAUUUCCAAGCUCCUUUACAGGUGUUUAUAUAGAUGCACAAUAAAAUCUUAGAUAUCAAUUGGUUGAUUUCAUGCAUUUAUGUACCUCCCCUAAUUAGUAUCAGCGUAUCUUGCUAGUUUUACAUAAAUACCAAAGAUUUUAUUUUGGAAAAAAAUUAUAUAUUCCAUCAUUAUGGCAUUUAAUGUUGAAGAUAACAUAUUGAGCCAAAAUAAAAUCUUUAGGUAUCGGCACUACAUUUAUGUCUCCAUUAUAAAAUAGUACCCAUACCGAUCUUGUUGGCUAUUUUGUAUCAUCCACACUUAUGUAUGUAUAUCUUACAUUUAUUUUAUAUUAUUUUUUGUGUGGUAUAUUGUUUUAGUAUAUACAGAGGCUUGCACAAUCAAAUCUUAUGCAUUGAUGAAUCUUGCAUACACAUGAUCUCAAAAAUAAGUAUUGCUGGAGUACUCCAUAGUCAUGAAUAUUAGGUAUCAUUAACUUUUUCUGCUAAAUUAAUGUUGAUGUAUCUUACUGAAUCUUCAUAAAUAUCAUGCAACCGUUUGUAUAUGUUAUAAUUAUUGAUAUUGUUUUUUGCUGCAUUUAUUAACCUUUAUUAUAUGGUGGCAUGUAUAAUUAUUGAUAUUGCUUCUUUUCGCUUCAUUUGUAUUAUACAUUGUUAUAAAUUUUGCAUUUAUAUUCUAUCAAUAAUAAAUAAAUGCUUGGACAAACGUAAGCUUGUACUUACUGACGAGUAUGCAGCCCGUCAGUAGCAACAUCAUUGUAGUAAACAUUUCAGAGUUUUUUCCCAUUAUGCUUAUAACCGGCUAUAAUAAUUGAUCUUUAAUGUUUGAUGCUUCAGUGUAUUUAUACAAAUGUCUCCCAUUUUAUUGAACAAAUGGAAGGGCACAGCAACCAAGAUCUUUCUUGUGGGUCUUGCAUAAUUGUAAACUGAUUACAUGGUUUCAUGCUUAUGCACAUCUUACUAUUCCUUAGUUAAAGUAGGAUUUGCAGUACUUUAUGCUUGAGUUGAUGUAUGUCAUCUGAAGUAGAAUGGAGCCUGAACCAAGUUGUAUGACUCAUUUUCACUAGGUUCACAUACUGAUGCUCUUCUGUAUGGAAUGUGAUACUGGGGUAUUAAUACUUAGUGUUGCUAUCUCAGAUAUAGUUAAAAAAAUUCUCCGGUUUUGUAACCUGGUACGGUUGAGUGGUGCAAUACUUUUCAACUAUUUGCACCUUUUAUUUGAAAACAUUGUAAGUUGUUGACGCUGAAAAGUGGCACGAUCAUAAAGAGUAGCUUGAGUUAUGUCAAGAUUAAUUCAGACUUAUUGUUGAAGUCACUAUGGGAUGGAUCUCUUCGAGAAGAUCAAAAUGGAUAUGAAGAUGGUCUAAAACAGAGCCCAGAUGCAAAAGUUGUGACAAGUUCAAAGAUUGGAUAUAGUAUUGACCCUAUAGUCUCGGUAGCCGAACCGGGACUGAAGGUAUUGGGAUUUAGGACCAACCCUAUAGUCCCGGUUCACGAACCGGGACAAAUGGGCCUUAUGAACUGGGACGAAUGGGCCUUUUUCUACUAGUGCAUAUUGGACCUACCCAAUAAAUAUUUCAGAAAUUCAUAAUAAAUCCUAGAGGCUAGCUUGGACCAUUCACGCAUGUCAAGAGCUGGGACUAAAGUUUAGUCCCACAUUGCUAGUUGAGAGAGAGUUAAACCUCCUCAUAAGGUGAGCUCUUUCCCCACUUGUAUGAGCAUGAUAAAAAAGAGAGGUUCUCACGCGCUCCUCCUCUGCCGCCUGCCUCGCCUCACCUUGCCUCAUCACGACACACUGCGUCACGCCACGGGCUGCGGGAAUGCCUAGAGCAUGCAUGAAGCUGAAGCGUUUUGUUGCUGUAGUUAGUGGAGAUUGGUUACGAGGUUUGUUGGGCUUUGGCUGCCACGUCUCCGUCUCCCGUCUCAUUGUUUUAUUUCCCUUCGCAGCCUAUUUUCCUCCUCUUUCUGUGCUUAUAAAAUAGAGGUCUCUCCUCUCCAUAGACACACAGAAACAAAGCACCACUUGCCUCCUACUACCAAGUUCCAGAGCACUGCGCUACCAGGUUCUUCCCCAUCCCGGCUUAUGACGUGCAGUGCCGAUUGGGACAGUAGGCCUCCGGAACCACGCGACAUUGAGGCAUGUACGGGUGAAGGAAAAUAAGGUGUUUGGGGAACGCUCUGUGCGACUACUGGCUUCUCCACCCCAGAUGUCGCUACAGACGUCGAAGACACUUUCCCCAAUGAUGAAUUCUUUUAGGACAUCGGCAACCUCUUCGGUAAUAAGGGCAACAGCAUCACGAAUGCCGCCGCCCCUGCUCCUAUCUAGGACGUGUUCACUUCUCCUUUGUUUAAUAUGUUUUUUUCCUGAUUUUAGUUCAAUUUCUUGGUCUAGUAAUUGGACUAGAUAUGCCAUGUUCAAAUUCACUACUACAUAUGUUAUUUUCUCACUCUCCGAUAGACUACAUGUCUAGUUUAAUCUUUACUAUUAUGGUCAUGUUUUAUCUACUAUUUUUAUGGAAUAAAUCAUAUGGUAAACUGCUCAUAUUUUCAACAUGCCCCAUGUACAUGUAUUGGUGUAACAAACACAUCCUAUGUGGUCGGUCUUCCUUCAUCAAAAUGUUCCAUGGCAAUCCAAUGAGAUUGAUGCCUCUAAUACCUAUGUUUAUAAGAAAAUAUAAGUUUAUUCAAUUAUUGGCAUCAGUAUACAGAAUUGCAUUGCAUAAGCUGAGAAACUUUGUGGCUCUCAUUUUGAUAUGGAACCGAAUUGUCUACAGCAGCACUGAAGAUGAUGCUGGUUGGUUUCGCAUUCCAAUUGAUAAGGUGGGCGAAAGCCUCUUUCUAAGCAGUCACUCUGGCACGACUCAUGAGUGCAACCCGCUAAAUCUCUGCAUGAGCGUCGUUGAACUACAAUGCAAUACAUCACAUAAUAAAACAAAUUAGUAAUACAGUCCAUAAAACAAAAAAAAUUGCUCAUAGAUUAAUUAAUUUCAACAUUUGGAAACAACAUGUAAAAUAUAAAUAAUGUUGCUUACUUGCUUGGCAGGACGACAACGUUGAGAACAUGAACACAAUGACCAAUAAAGCAACAGCUAUGUUGUACACGACCAUCAUUGUGUUUCUCUUGAUGAGUGCCAUGAGGAAAAAUGUGAC
Molecule: long non-coding RNA, 3730 nt
Filed under: Triticum aestivum (bread wheat)
Lineage: Eukaryota; Viridiplantae; Streptophyta; Magnoliopsida; Poales; Poaceae
Description: long non-coding RNA (TAES_LNC010781)
Source: RNAcentral